This 468-nucleotide ribosomal RNA is filed under the name uncultured bacterium. RNAcentral describes it as "partial 16S ribosomal RNA". It matches the Rfam family "Bacterial small subunit ribosomal RNA", at positions 28 to 507 of the family's 1533-position model. The record is from RNAcentral.
GACGAACGCUGGCGGCGUGCUUAACACAUGCAAGUCGAACGGAAAGGCCCUGCUUUUGUGGGGUGCUCGAGUGGCGAACGGGUGUGUAACACGUGAGUAACCUGCCCUUGACUUUGGGAUAACUUCAGGAAACUGGGGCUAAUACCGGAUAGGAGCUCCUGCUGCAUGGUGGGGGUUGGAAAGUUUCGGCGGUUGGGGAUGGACUCGCGGCUUAUCAGCUUGUUGGUGGGGUAGUGGCUUACCAAGGCUUUGACGGGUAGCCGGCCUGAGAGGGUGACCGGCCACAUUGGGACUGAGAUACGGCCCAGACUCCUACGGGAGGCAGCAGUGGGGAAUAUUGCACAAUGGGCGGAAGCCUGAUGCAGCAACGCCGCGUGCGGGAUGACGGCCUUCGGGUUGUAAACCGCUUUCGCUUGUGACGAAGCGUGAGUGACGGUAAUGGGUAAAGAAGCACCGGCUAACUACGUG